Molecule: long non-coding RNA, 1052 nt
Organism: Carassius auratus (goldfish)
Lineage: Eukaryota; Metazoa; Chordata; Actinopteri; Cypriniformes; Cyprinidae
Exons: 10
Source: RefSeq, a predicted model, not a curated record
UUUUUUUUUUGUGUGUUUUUUUUUUUUUACAAUAACGUUACUUCGAAUGUAAACAAGAAGUGAAGUCAAUUAGAGCACCUUUAAGAGUGUUUUGGUGCUGCUGUUUACAUGUGAGUGAUCAGUGUGUUUUGGUUGAUAAUGACUCUUAUUAAGCUCAGAGGAGUCAAUGUGGACUUUCCCUUCACUCCAUACUCGUGCCAGGAGGAGUACAUGAGAAAAGUAAUCGAGUGCCUGCAGAAUCGCUGGGCUGGAGAGAGAACUUAAAAGACAAAAUCUCUGACCGCAAGAUAGCCGAGAGAAUGGACGGUGUGGAGCUGUUCCCUGACAAACCAAUGUCAUCGAGGGGAACAGCAGUCACCAACAAAGACACUCCAACUUAUGACACGGACAUCCCUAAGAUCAUAUAUGCUUCCAGGACCCAUUCCCAGCUAGCACAGGUCAUAAAUGAGCUCAAGAACACAUCCUACAGGCCAAAUAUUUGUGUUUUGGGAUCUAGAGAACAGCUGUGCAUAGACCAGGAAGUGAUGCGUCAAGAGAGUAACCACUUUAAGAGAAAAGCACUAAAAAACCACAAAGAAAUCAAGAAUACUAUCAUGGAUGUGGAGGAUCUUGUGAAAACAUGAAAAAGGAAAGGAGAAGAUGUGUGAAGAGUCCACCUCUUUUGACCUUUCCCCUCACGACCUGAUUUCUGCCAUUGAAGCCGUGGAUCGACUGCUCUGGGAACAUGCCUCAGACAUUAGCAAAACUAAGUCUGGAUUAAAACUGGAUAUCACCACAAUUGCAAAAAUAAAACAUAGGUUACACUUCAAAAAUGGAAAUAAAUUUUAAUGGAUCUGGGAUCUUCCAUUAAUAGUUUUGAGAUGCCAGCAAAUAAUCAAGGAAUCACCAAGCCCGGCAGCUUCAUAUAUGAGCUUUUUCAAACGGCUAAUGUAAACUUUGAGUUUAAAACAUCUAUAGUGGAAGCCAUGGAGCAGAUUACAGGAUAUAUAGCAGGGAGGCCUGGUGUCUUUCUGAAAACCAGCGGACUACAGAAAGUAGCAGAUAUUAUCAAG